This 89-nucleotide transfer RNA is filed under the name Balneicella halophila. It matches the Rfam family "tRNA". From Rfam's summary of the family: Transfer RNA (tRNA) molecules are approximately 80 nucleotides in length. Their secondary structure includes four short double-helical elements and three loops (D, anti-codon, and T loops). The record is from Rfam by way of RNAcentral. Lineage: Bacteria; Pseudomonadati; Bacteroidota; Bacteroidia; Bacteroidales; Balneicellaceae.
GGAGAGGUGGGUGAGUGGCUGAAACCACCGGUUUGCUAAACCGGCAUACGAGUAACAUUGUAUCGGGGGUUCGAAUCCCCCUCUCUCCG